GAGUAAAUUUUAAUGAAUGCUUACCCAACAAUAAAAUAUAACACGUUGCUCACCCAUCUAUCCAAUAACUUACCCGUUGCUCACCCAUUUCAUCCCCGUCAAUCUAAGUUAACGGAGUAUGCCACACUUGGAGGACUGAAAUCCCACAUGGCACAAAUUUUCGUUCUCCACUGCCUAGACUUCACAAACUGCACACCAAUUCACUGCUGAUACUCUUUUGACCACGAUUGCUGAUGAAUUCUAGAAGUUGGAGUGUUCUUACUGUCGUAAAAGAGCUAGCUAAUGGAGAACCAGAGAGGUAUGAAUAACAUCUGCUCGGUGCUAAUAUUCUUGACUGCGAUCGCUGCUGAAUCCAAGAAGCUAGAGUUUUCCAUUUUCUGUCCUAACAGAGCUUGUUAAUAGAGCAAGAGAGAGGUAAGAAUAACAUCUAGUCACUGCAUAUUGAAUACACCUUCAAAUAUGAAAAUGGAAUUUCUUCGGUCUCAUUCUCCUGUGAAACAAGAAAAUCAAUAAUAUUUUCAUCGGUUUCCAAUUGAUUUUCUAACUUAUUUCAACGGGCAUUUCAGUCUGAAAAUGGAAUGAAUUUGAUGGGCCCACAAGAAGGGGAAAUAGAAAGAGGAAAUUACAUAAACUAAGAUAUUUGAAGAUUCA
RNAcentral lists this long non-coding RNA (651 nucleotides) under Olea europaea (common olive). RNAcentral's name for it is "long non-coding RNA (OEUR_LNC003385)". Lineage: Eukaryota; Viridiplantae; Streptophyta; Magnoliopsida; Lamiales; Oleaceae. The record is from RNAcentral.